RNAcentral lists this ribosomal RNA (975 nucleotides) under Escherichia coli 2-316-03_S1_C1. Its description in RNAcentral is "bacterial LSU rRNA". It matches the Rfam family "Bacterial large subunit ribosomal RNA", at positions 1956 to 2925 of the family's 2925-position model. Lineage: Bacteria; Pseudomonadati; Pseudomonadota; Gammaproteobacteria; Enterobacterales; Enterobacteriaceae. The record is from RNAcentral.
GUAGCGAAAUUCCUUGUCGGGUAAGUUCCGACCUGCACGAAUGGCGUAAUGAUGGCCAGGCUGUCUCCACCCGAGACUCAGUGAAAUUGAACUCGCUGUGAAGAUGCAGUGUACCCGCGGCAAGACGGAAAGACCCCGUGAACCUUUACUAUAGCUUGACACUGAACAUUGAGCCUUGAUGUGUAGGAUAGGUGGGAGGCUUUGAAGUGUGGACGCCAGUCUGCAUGGAGCCGACCUUGAAAUACCACCCUUUAAUGUUUGAUGUUCUAACGUUGGCCCGUUAUCCGGGUUGCGGACAGUGUCUGGUGGGUAGUUUGACUGGGGCGGUCUCCUCCUAAAGAGUAACGGAGGAGCACGAAGGUUGGCUAAUCCUGGUCGGACAUCAGGAGGUUAGUGCAAUGGCAUAAGCCAGCUUGACUGCGAGCGUGACGGCGCGAGCAGGUGCGAAAGCAGGUCAUAGUGAUCCGGUGGUUCUGAAUGGAAGGGCCAUCGCUCAACGGAUAAAAGGUACUCCGGGGAUAACAGGCUGAUACCGCCCAAGAGUUCAUAUCGACGGCGGUGUUUGGCACCUCGAUGUCGGCUCAUCACAUCCUGGGGCUGAAGUAGGUCCCAAGGGUAUGGCUGUUCGCCAUUUAAAGUGGUACGCGAGCUGGGUUUAGAACGUCGUGAGACAGUUCGGUCCCUAUCUGCCGUGGGCGCUGGAGAACUGAGGGGGGCUGCUCCUAGUACGAGAGGACCGGAGUGGACGCAUCACUGGUGUUCGGGUUGUCAUGCCAAUGGCACUGCCCGGUAGCUAAAUGCGGAAGAGAUAAGUGCUGAAAGCAUCUAAGCACGAAACUUGCCCCGAGAUGAGUUCUCCCUGACUCCUUGAGAGUCCUGAAGGAACGUUGAAGACGACGACGUUGAUAGGCCGGGUGUGUAAGCGCAGCGAUGCGUUGAGCUAACCGGUACUAAUGAACCGUGAGGCUUAACCUU